Molecule: ribosomal RNA, 301 nt
Filed under: uncultured bacterium
Lineage: Bacteria
Description: partial 16S ribosomal RNA
Rfam family: Bacterial small subunit ribosomal RNA
Source: RNAcentral
CAGUCGCCGCGGUAAUACGAAGGGUGCAAGCGUUACUCGGAAUUACUGGGCGUAAAGCGUGCGUAGGUGGUGGUUUAAGUCCGUUGUGAAAGCCCUGGGCUCAACCUGGGAAUUGCAGUGGAUACUGGAUCACUAGAGUGUGGUAGAGGAUAGUGGAAUUUCCGGUGUAGCAGUGAAAUGCGUAGAGAUCGGAAGGAACAUCUGUGGCGAAGGCGACUAUCUGGGCCAACACUGACACUGAGGCACGAAAGCGUGGGGAGCAAACAGGAUUAGAUACCCCCGUAGUCCCUGUCUCUUAUAC